GGAGGGUUAGUCUAAUUGGUAAGGCAGCGGACUUGAAAUCCGCCGUCCCUUUCGGGACAUGGGGGUUCGAGUCCCUCACCCUCCG
This 85-nucleotide transfer RNA is filed under the name Candidatus Omnitrophota bacterium. Its description in RNAcentral is "tRNA-Ser". It matches the Rfam family "tRNA". Rfam says of the family: Transfer RNA (tRNA) molecules are approximately 80 nucleotides in length. Their secondary structure includes four short double-helical elements and three loops (D, anti-codon, and T loops). The record is from RNAcentral. Lineage: Bacteria; Pseudomonadati; Candidatus Omnitrophota.